Molecule: ribosomal RNA, 468 nt
Filed under: uncultured bacterium
Lineage: Bacteria
Description: partial 16S ribosomal RNA
Rfam family: Bacterial small subunit ribosomal RNA
Source: RNAcentral
GACGAACGCUGGCGGCGUGCUUAACACAUGCAAGUCGAACGGAAAGGCCCUGCUUUUGUGGGGUGCUCGAGUGGCGAACGGGUGAGUAACACGUGAGUAACCUGCCCUUGACUUUGGGAUAACUUCAGGAAACUGGGGCAAAUACCGGUUAGGAGCUCCUGCUGCAUGGUGGGGGUUGGAAAGUUUCGGCGGUUGGGGAUGGACUCGGGGCUUAUCAGCUUGUUGGUGGGGUAGUGGCUUACCAAGGCUCUGACGGGUAGCCGGCCUGAGAGGGUGACCGGCCACAUUGGGACUGAGAUACGGCCCAGACUCCUACGGGAGGCAGCAGUGGGGAAUAUUGCACAAUGGGCGGAAGCCUGAUGCAGCAACGCCGCGUGCGGGAUGACGGCCUUCGGGUUGUAAACCGCUUUCGCCUGUGACGAAGCGUGAGUGACGGUAAUGGGUAAAGAAGCACCGGCUAACUACGUG